AUAGUUAAAGAAUUAGGAAUGUAUUAGGUUCUUCAUCAUCCAAAAAACAACAACAACAACAACAACUACCCAGUAUAGUCCCACAAAGUGGGAUCUGGGGAGGGUAAAGUGUAAUUAAGUUAAACCUUAAAUAUAGAUGGUAAUAAGGUUUCUAUGUGGCAUUGGAAAGUACAAACAACAACAACAACUACCCAGUAUAGUCCCACAAAGUGGGGUUUGGGGAGGGUAAUAGGUAGACUAGACUUACCCCUACCCGAAAGGGCAUAGAGCCUGUUUCCAAUCGACCCUCGGCUCAGUGAAGGAAAGUAAAAACAAAAACACAAACAAAAGAGCAUUAGUAACUCCAGCAUAAAUAGCGUAAAUAAUUAUCUAAACAUAAGAACCAUAAAUAAAAUAGCAUGCAGUAAUAUCACACAAUAUCUACCAUAAAUAACUACCAUAAGAAAGACACAAUCCAAUACACAAAUCAUCUAUGGGUAGCCCUGUCAAGCCUCACCCAACCCCGGGAGAGGAGUACGAAAAACUCUAGGAGCCCCUAUCCUACAACCCNNNNNNNNNNNNNNNNNNNNAGCACGAAGAACUCUAGGAGCCCCUAUCCUACAACCUUGAUACUAGACCUCCAGACUUUCCUAUCAAGGGCCAUGUCCUCGGAAACCCGCAUUCUAACAAUGUCAUGCCUAAUCACCUCUCCCCAAUACCUCUUAGGCCUCCCUCUGCCUCGCCGUACGCCGACUAUCGCCAGCCGCUCACAACUCCUCACCGGGGCAUCAGGACUUCUCCUCCGCACAUGCCCGAACCACCUAAUCCUCGCUUCUCGCAUCUUCUCGUCCACCGGAGCCACCCCCACCUUCUCUCGAAUAACUUCAUUCUUAAUAUUAUCUAACCUGGUGGUCCCGCACAUCCACCUGAGCAUCCUCAUCUCUGCAACCUUCAUUCUCUGAAUAUGAGAGUUCUUCACUGGCCAGCACUUUGCCCUAUAUAACAUGGCAGGUCUAACCACAGCUCUAUAAAAUUUCCACUUGAGUUUCUGUGGAACUUUCUUGUCACACAGGACUCCUGAUGCAAGCCUCCACUUUGACCACCCGCUCCUAUACGAUGAGUGGCGUCCCCAUCAAUCUCUCCGUCCCCUUGCAUCACCGACCCAAGAUAUAUGUCAUUGUCCCUCUUGGCGAUGACCUGAGAUCCAAUCAUCACGUCUCUGCCUACUUCGCUCGGCUCGGCGCUAAACUUGCACUCCAAGUAUUCAGUCUUAGAUCUGCUUAUUUUUAAACCCUUAAACUCGAGAGUCUGUCUUCAUACCUCUAACCUCUCAAUAACACCGACCCUCGUC
This 1330-nucleotide long non-coding RNA is filed under the name Nicotiana benthamiana. RNAcentral's name for it is "long non-coding RNA (NBEN_LNC021471)". Lineage: Eukaryota; Viridiplantae; Streptophyta; Magnoliopsida; Solanales; Solanaceae. The record is from RNAcentral.